GACUUCGGAAAGGUUGUCAGUGUAUGCCGAGAAGGAGCCCCCGUGUACCAGGUACCUGGAGAAAGGCAGUGCCCUCCUCACAUAAUGCCCACUGCUAAAGCUGCACAGGCAUUACUCUAGGCUUGGACGUGUCCACCAAAAACUCAGGCCUGGCCUCUCCCAGCAGCGUCUCUGAAACCUAUCACAAUAUGAAGAGAAACAUUCAACUCCUGUCUUCUCCGUGAGGACAACCCUAAUAAUAUCCACCAUCUAUUUGUCAAUGGAGGAAUGAAGGUCAACAAAGCCAAGUGAUUACCUCCAAGGUCACACCAGUGUGAGGACCCCGUCCCCAGCCACACACUGUUAAAGCAAAUAGCUAGGGACCACAGUAUUUGAAGACUCAAAGUGAUAUCUGUUAUUUCAAAUUCAUUAGCUUCCCCUUUCAAAAUUAAUUUCUCAAAAUUGCAUUUGUCUCAUGUAAGAAGUAAAGGCAUCUCCUCUUCUAUUUCCCAAAAUAAAAGCCACACGUGGAAAUCCGUGUGUGUGUGUGUAUCUGAGAACAACAUGUCAGAGAAAUCAAUAUUAAUUAGAGUGAAUGAUUGCUACCAUGUGUGGUUAUGGUUUUUGAGAUAGUGUUGUUAAUCCUCACAAUGGGUUUUCGAAUUUCACACAUAAGGAUUCAAGGUUUGAA
Long non-coding RNA from Ailuropoda melanoleuca (giant panda), 670 nucleotides. RefSeq lists it as uncharacterized. The record is from RefSeq and is a predicted model, not a curated record. Lineage: Eukaryota; Metazoa; Chordata; Mammalia; Carnivora; Ursidae. The transcript is spliced from 3 exons.